AAUUUUGGACAAUGGGGGAAACCCUGAUCCAGCCAUCCCGCGUGUAUGAUGAAGGCCUUCGGGUUGUAAAGUACUUUUGGCAGGGAAGAAAAGCCGCGGGUUAAUACCCUGCGGUGCUGACGGUACCUGCAGAAUAAGCACCGGCUAACUACGUGCCAGCAGCCGCGGUAAUACGUAGGGUGCAAGCGUUAAUCGGAAUUACUGGGCGUAAAGCGUGCGCAGGCGGUUCGGCAAGAAGGAUGUGAAAUCCCGGGGCUUAACCUCGGAACUGCAUUCUUAACUGCCGGGCUAGAGUAUGUCAGAGGGGGGUAGAAUUCCGCGUGUAGCAGUGAAAUGCGUAGAGAUGCGGAGGAAUACCGAUGGCAAAGGCAGCCCCCUGGGAUAAUACUGACGCUCAGACACGAAAGCGUGGGGAGCAAACA
RNAcentral lists this ribosomal RNA (422 nucleotides) under uncultured bacterium. RNAcentral's name for it is "partial 16S ribosomal RNA". It matches the Rfam family "Bacterial small subunit ribosomal RNA", at positions 360 to 774 of the family's 1533-position model. The record is from RNAcentral.